Molecule: transfer RNA, 77 nt
Filed under: Clostridiales bacterium
Lineage: Bacteria; Bacillati; Bacillota; Clostridia; Eubacteriales
Also listed under: 1 other name
Description: tRNA-His
Rfam family: tRNA
About the family: Transfer RNA (tRNA) molecules are approximately 80 nucleotides in length. Their secondary structure includes four short double-helical elements and three loops (D, anti-codon, and T loops). Further hydrogen bonds mediate the characteristic L-shaped molecular structure. tRNAs have two regions of fundamental functional importance: the anti-codon, which is responsible for specific mRNA codon recognition, and the 3' end, to which the tRNAs corresponding amino acid is attached (by aminoacyl-tRNA synthetases). tRNAs cope with the degeneracy of the genetic code in two manners: having more than one tRNA (with a specific anti-codon) for a particular amino acid; and 'wobble' base-pairing, i.e. permitting non-standard base-pairing at the 3rd anti-codon position.
Source: RNAcentral
GUGGAUGUAGCUCAGUCGGUUAGAGCGCCAGGUUGUGGCCCUGGAGGUCGCGGGUUCGAAUCCCGUCAUUCACCCCA